CUGGUUCUAUGAUGAAUAAAAUCAAAUCACCAUCUUUCGGCUGAGCUCGUGAUGGAUUUGCUUUUUUCUGAUAAAGCUG
This 79-nucleotide small nucleolar RNA is filed under the name Prolemur simus (greater bamboo lemur). The record is from RNAcentral. Lineage: Eukaryota; Metazoa; Chordata; Mammalia; Primates; Lemuridae.